RNAcentral lists this ribosomal RNA (774 nucleotides) under uncultured Neocallimastigales. RNAcentral describes it as "partial large subunit ribosomal RNA". It matches the Rfam family "Eukaryotic large subunit ribosomal RNA", at positions 23 to 635 of the family's 3401-position model. Lineage: Eukaryota; Fungi; Neocallimastigomycota; Neocallimastigomycetes; Neocallimastigales. The record is from RNAcentral.
AGAGAGAGACAUGCGCGCAUAUCAAUAAGCGGAGGAAAAGAAACUAACAAGGAUUCCCUUAGUAACGGCGAGUGAAGCGGGAAGAGCUCAAAUUUGAAAUCUUCAAGGUUUACCUUGACGAAUUGUAGUUUAAAGAAGUGUUUUCUGUUGGAGUUUUGGUAAAAGUUCUUUGGAAUAGGACAUCAUAGAGGGUGAGAAUCCCGUAUUUGACCAUUAUUUCCAACUUUGUGAUACACUUUCAGAGAGUCGGAUUGUUUGGGAAUGCAGUCCAAAAUGGGUGGUAAAUUUCAUCUAAAGCUAAAUAUUGGCGAGAGACCGAUAGCGAACAAGUACCGUGAGGGAAAGAUGAAAAGAACUUUGAAAAGAGAGUUAAACAGUACGUGAAAUUGUCAAAAGGGAAGCGUUUGACACCAGUGUUGUUUUUCCGAAAAUCAAUUAUGAAUGUUUUAUUUUUGAGGAGUUAUGACUUCAUCGGCUUGCUCCUUUCUUUAUGAAACUUUCUUAAUGCACUUUUCGGUUAACAAGUCAACAUCAAUUUCUUUUGUUGUAAAAGGAGUAUGAGGAAGGUGGCUUUCUUUUCGGAGAAAGUGUUUAUAGCCUUGUACCUCUGCAAUCGGAGAGAUUGAGGUCUGCAGCGUAGAUCCUUCGGGGUUAGAUACAUUUGUGCUAAGUUAUAGCUUUUCAUAGACAACUUGUUGACUAUGUUAAGUCUUGUAGCUUACUCGCUUAUGCUAUUUUACCUACGCUUAGGAUGUUGACAGCAGUAUAGACUGU